Molecule: ribosomal RNA, 705 nt
Filed under: uncultured bacterium
Lineage: Bacteria
Description: bacterial SSU rRNA
Rfam family: Bacterial small subunit ribosomal RNA
Source: RNAcentral
UGCCCCCUCCUCGGGAAUAGCCGCGGGAAACCGCGGGUAAUGCCCGACGACCCGGGGACCGCGCAUGCGGCCCCCGGCAAAGCCCAGGCGGGAGGGGAUGGCUCCGCGGCCCAUCAGGUAGACGGCGGGGUGACGGCCCACCGUGCCGACAACGGGUAGCCGGGUUGAGAGACCGACCGGCCAGAUUGGGACUGAGACACGGCCCAGACUCCUACGGGAGGCAGCAGUGGGGAAUCUUGCGCAAUGGGGGCAACCCUGACGCAGCGACGCCGCGUGCGGGACGGAGGCCUUCGGGUCGUAAACCGCUUUCAGCAGGGAAGAGACAAGACUGUACCUGCAGAAGAAGCCCCGGCUAACUACGUGCCAGCAGCCGCGGUAAUACGUAGGGGGCGAGCGUUAUCCGGAUUCAUUGGGCGUAAAGCGCGCGUAGGCGGCCUGGCAGGCCGGGGGUCAAAUGCGGGGGCUCAACCCCCGCCCGCCCCCGGAACCUCCGCGGCUUGGGUCCGGUAGGGGAGGGUGGAACACCCGGUGUAGCGGUGGAAUGCGCAGAUAUCGGGUGGAACACCGGUGGCGAAGGCGGCCCUCUGGGCCGUGACCGACGCCGAGGCGCGAAAGCUGGGGGAGCGAACAGGAUUAGAUACCCUGGUAGUCCCAGCCGUAAACGGUGGACGCUAGGUGUGGGGGGACGAUCCCCCCGUGCCGCAG